UCUUUUGAUUCAUAAGCAUGUAUAUCUCUCCAUUUACUUAGAUCUUUAAUAUUUUUUCAGCCAUGUUUUGUAGUUUCUACUGUACAUGUCCUGCAUAUCUUUGGUCAGUUUAUCCCUAAAUAUUUCAUAAUUUUUGAUGCUAUUGUAAAUGGUAUUGUUUUGUAAUUUAAAGUUCCGUUUGUUUCUUGCUAUGAUGUAGAAAUACAAUUUUUAAAUAUAUUGAUCUCAUAUCUUGCAUCAUUGCUAAACACUUCGAUUAGUUCCAGUAACUUUUAAAUUUGGUUAUAUGGAUUUUUGUUUUGACAUAGAUGAUUAUGUCACUGGUGAUUAAAGGUAGCUUUACUUCAAUCUAGAUGUGUUUAUUUUUCUUGCCUUAUUUCACUGGCUAGAACUCCACGACAAUGUUGAAUAAAAUGGUGAGAGUGAACGUUCUUGCUUAUUUCUGAACUUAGGGGUAAAAUAUUUAGUCUUUCACCAUUAACAAUUAUCUUAGCUAUAUUAUUUUUGUAGAUGUCCUGUAACUGGCUGAAGAGUUCUAUUCUUAGUUUUGCUGGGAGGUUUUUAAUUUUUUUAUUUUUAAUCAGAAAUGAAUGCUGGAUUUUGUUGAAUGCAUUUUCUGCAUCAAUUGAAAUCAUUAUAUGGUUUUUUCUUUAAAAUAUUUUAAUCAUCAUGAAUUACUUUGACUGAUUUUCUAAUGUUAAGCCAAACUUCCAUUCCUGGAAUAAUUCUCACUUGAUCAUGUUAUACUAUCCUUUUUAAACAUUGUUGCAUUCAAUAUGCUCACAUUUUGUUAAGAUUUUUUUCAUCUAUAUUCAUGAGAGACAUUGGCCUAUAUUUCUUUUUUGGUAGCAUCUCUCCUUCUCUUUUUUAACCAGACUAAUGGGCAUCAUAAAAUGAGUUGAGAAAUAUUCCCUUCUCUUCAAUUUUCUGGAAGAGUUUGUGUAGAAUUGGUAUUAUUAUUCCCUUAAAUAUUUGGUAAGGGUUCCCUGUGAAGCAACCUGGAAACUUGAGUUUUCUUUGUGGAUAUUAUUGACAGUAAAUUUCUUUAUUUUGUACAGUACUAUUCAGGUAAUCUAGCUCUUCUUGAGUAAACUUAGAAAGUUUCUGUUUUUAAAGUCAUUUGUCUAUCUCACACAAGUCAUCAAAUUUAUUGGCAUAAACUAUUCACAGUAUUCCCUUAUUAUUGUUUGACUAUACAUAGAAUUCUUAGUUAUGUCACCCAUCUUAUUCUUAAUAUUGGGAAUUUGUGUCUUCUCUUUUUUUUUCCUGAUUAGCGGCUAGAGGUUUUCACUGUUGUGCUUCUCAGGGAACCAAGUUUUGGUAUUAUUGUUAUUUUAAUGUUAUUUUCUGUUUUCUAAUUGACUUCCAUGCUGAUGUUUAUUUGCUUUCUUUUGCUUACUUUGAGUUUUAUUUGCUCUUCUUUUUCUAGUUUCUUAUGGUGGAAGUUGAGGUCAUUGAUUUGAGACCUUUCUGUUUUUCUAAUAUAAGCAUUUUUAGUGCUAUAAAUUUCCCCAUAAGUACUGCUUUAGCUGCAUCCAACAAAUUUGAAUAAAAUACGUUAUUUUCAUUGAGUUCAAAAUACUCUUUUGAUCUCUUCUUUGACUCGUGGGUUAUUUAGAAGUGUGUUAUUUAGUUUCCACAUGUUUGGAAGAUUUUCUAGAUAUCUUUCUAUUAUUGAUUUUUAGUUUUAUCCCAUUGUGGUCAGAGAAUAUACUUUAUAUGACCUGAAUCCUUAUAAAUUUGUUGAGAUAUGUUUUAUGGGCUACACGAUGAUCUAUUUUGGUAUAUAUCCUCUGUGCACUUGAAAAGAAUGUAUACCCUGUUGUAGAUGAGUGUUCCAGUGAUGUCGAUUAGAAUAGCUGGUUGAUGAUGUUGUUCAAGUCCUCUACCUUCUUACUGGUUUUCUGUCUACAGGUUUUAUCAAUUAUUGAGAGAGAAGUGUUAAAAUCUUUGACAAAAUAACAAUUUUUAUGUUUCUCAUUGCAGUUCCAUCAGUUUUGGAUUUGCUUAUUUUGAAGCUUUGUGUUUAGGUGUGUAAAUAUUUAGAAUUGCUAUAUACUCUUGAUGAAUUGACCACUUUAUCAAUAUGGAAUGGCCAUCUUUAAUUUUGGCAAAGCUUUUUCUCUGAAAUCUAAUUUUGCCUGAUAUUAAUAUAGCCUCCUCAGCUUUACUUUGAUUAGUACUAGCAUAAUAAAUAUCUUUUCAUCCUUUUACCUUUAAUCUGUGUCUUUAUAUUUAAAAUGAAUUUCUUAUAGGCAGCAUGUAAUUGGGUAUUGCUUUUUUAAAUGUUUAUUUUAUUGAGGUCGUAAUAGUUUAUAACAUUGUGAAAUUUCAGUUGUACAUUAUUGUCAGUCACCAUGCGUGCGUGCCCUUUACCCCUUAUGCCCAUCCUCCAACCCCCUUCCCCUCUGGUAACCAUUAAUCUGUUCUCUUUGUCCAUGUGUUUGUUUAUCUUCCACAUAUGAGUGAAAUCAUAUGUUGUUUGUCUUUCUCUAUCUGGCUUAUUUCACUUGACAUAAUACCUUCAAGGUCCAUCCAUGUAGUUGCAAAUGGGACUAUUUUGUCUUUUUUUUAAUGGCUGAGUGUAUUCCAUUGUGUGGACAGACCUAAUUUACUUAUUCUU
RNAcentral lists this long non-coding RNA (2623 nucleotides) under Equus caballus (horse). RNAcentral's name for it is "lncRNA (ENSECAG00000053149.1)". Lineage: Eukaryota; Metazoa; Chordata; Mammalia; Perissodactyla; Equidae. The record is from RNAcentral.